Molecule: long non-coding RNA, 554 nt
Organism: Rhinolophus ferrumequinum (greater horseshoe bat)
Lineage: Eukaryota; Metazoa; Chordata; Mammalia; Chiroptera; Rhinolophidae
Exons: 3
Source: RefSeq, a predicted model, not a curated record
GCACAUCUUUCUGCAUUGAGUUGCCUUGACUGCUGCAAAAUUAAGUACCUGAUGUUCUUUCAGAUAAACCUUGGUGACAUUAGUAAAGUGCUUCAUUUUUAGGAAUGCAUUUUCUUCGGACUGAGUUCAUUUUAUUCACAAUGCCCCACUUGAAAGCAGUUCUAGUUCAAGUGAAACUCCUUUAAAAUAGGCUUCCACAUGAAGUUCCUUACCUACAGAUGUUAUAACGAACAGUACUAUUUGGGAGUGUUAUUCACUUUAUCCAAAGGAGGGUUUUAUGGAAUUGUUUCACUUGUGGACAGCUGGCAAUUUUUGCUUCAUCAUACUGAAUGACAGACAUCGUCUUUACAGGUCUACCUCCUCUGAUCCCUACCACUCUCAGUGUCUAAAGGAAGGACAGUCCUUCAUCUGGUAUUCCUGCUUCUCUACACUGGAGCCUAAAAGUACCUCAAUAAAUAUUCAUCAAUGAAUGAAGUACUUCACAUUUUUUAAUAUAAAUAUCUAUGGCUAAGACAAAUCCUAAAACUGUAACUUAAUAGAAUCAUAAUUAAAUU